AGUCGAGGGGUAUAGUUCUUCGGAACUAGAGACCGGCGCACGGGUGCGUAACGCGUAUGCAACCUACCUUUCACAGGGGGAUAGCCCAGAGAAAUUUGGAUUAAUACCCCAUGGUAUAUAGAGAUGGCAUCAUUUUUAUAUUAAAGUCACAACGGUGAAAGAUGGGCAUGCGUCCCAUUAGCUAGAUGGUAAGGUAACGGCUUACCAUGGCUACGAUGGGUAGGGGUCCUGAGAGGGAGAUCCCCCACACUGGUACUGAGACACGGACCAGACUCCUACGGGAGGCAGCAGUGAGGAAUAUUGGACAAUGGGCGCAAGCCUGAUCCAGCCAUGCCGCGUGCAGGAUGACGGUCCUAUGGAUUGUAAACUGCUUUUAUACGGGAAGAAACCCCGCCUCGUGAGGCGGAUUGACGGUACCGUAAGAAUAAGGAUCGGCUAACUCCGUGCCAGCAGCCGCGGUAAUACGGAGGAUCCAAGCGUUAUCCGGAAUCAUUGGGUUUAAAGGGUCCGUAGGCGGCCUUAUAAGUCAGUGGUGAAAUCUCCCGGCUCAACCGGGAAAUUGCCAUUGAUACUGUAGGGCUUGAAUUAUUAGGAAGUAACUAGAAUAUGUAGUGUAGCGGUGAAAUGCUUAGAGAUUACAUGGAAUACCAAUUGCGAAGGCAGGUUACUACUAAU
This 675-nucleotide ribosomal RNA is filed under the name uncultured bacterium. RNAcentral describes it as "bacterial SSU rRNA". It matches the Rfam family "Bacterial small subunit ribosomal RNA", at positions 60 to 736 of the family's 1533-position model. The record is from RNAcentral.